GAUGAACGCUAGCGGCAGGCCUAACACAUGCAAGUCGAGGGGUAACAUAGAAAAGCUUGCUUUUCUGAUGACGACCGGCGCACGGGUGCGUAACGCGUAUACAACCUACCUUUUAGCGGGGAAUAGCCCAGGGAAACUUGGAUUAAUGCCUCAUAGUAUAUAAGCUUCUCCUGAAGUUUAUAUUAAACAUUUAUGGCUAUUAGAUGGGUAUGCGUCCUAUUAGUUAGUUGGUAAGGUAACGGCUUACCAAGGCAGCGAUAGGUAGGGGUCCUGAGAGGGAGAUCCCCACACUGGGACUGAGACACGGCCCAGACUCCUACGGGAGGCAGCAGUGAGGAAUAUUGGACAAUGGGCGAGAGCCUGAUCCAGCCAUGCCGCGUGCAGGAAGACUGCCCUAUGGGUUGUAAACUGCUUUUACAGAGGAAGAACCACCCCCACGUGUGGGGGUUUGACGGUACUCUGCGAAUAAGGAUCGGCUAACUCCGUG
This 487-nucleotide ribosomal RNA is filed under the name uncultured bacterium. Its description in RNAcentral is "bacterial SSU rRNA". It matches the Rfam family "Bacterial small subunit ribosomal RNA", at positions 28 to 507 of the family's 1533-position model. The record is from RNAcentral.